UGGGGAAUAUUGCACAAUGGGCGCAAGCCUGAUGCAGCCAUGCCGCGUGUGUGAAGAAGGCCUUCGGGUUGUAAAGCACUUUCAGCGAGGAGGAAGGUGGUGGACUUAAUACGUUCAUCAAUUGACGUUACUCGCAGAAGAAGCACCGGCUAACUCCGUGCCAGCAGCCGCGGUAAUACGGAGGGUGCAAGCGUUAAUCGGAAUUACUGGGCGUAAAGCGCACGCAGGCGGUUUGUUAAGUCAGAUGUGAAAUCCCCGGGCUCAACCUGGGAACUGCAUUUGAAACUGGCAAGCUAGAGUCUCGUAGAGGGGGGUAGAAUUCCAGGUGUAGCGGUGAAAUGCGUAGAGAUCUGGAGGAAUACCGGUGGCGAAGGCGGCCCCCCUGGANGAAGACUGACGCUCAGGUGCGAAAGCGUGGGGAGCAAACAGAUUAGAUACCCUGGUAGUCACGCUGUAAACGAUGUC
This 465-nucleotide ribosomal RNA is filed under the name uncultured bacterium. RNAcentral's name for it is "partial 16S ribosomal RNA". It matches the Rfam family "Bacterial small subunit ribosomal RNA", at positions 355 to 813 of the family's 1533-position model. The record is from RNAcentral.